ACUGUAGUUAGGUGGGGUUAAGAGGUGAAAAGGGAGGUGGUGUUCAUCUUUGAAAUGAAACUGUUGCUUGGGAUUUCUUUCCAUAGGGUUUCCACGGUCACUGGCUGAGGAAAUUAAUCCAACUCAUGGCUGCAGAAAGAAUUUUGGCUCAGUUUUGAGUGCAUAAAGCAACAAUAAUUCGCAUGUUGCUGAAACUCCUUUCCUGAUGGCCAGAUCUUUCAGUGAGUCCAGUGUUUUCCUGUCACAUGAGCUUUACUGUAAAACAACAGUCGUACUGGAUGUGCAAGAUCCCUUUUCCCAGAUUGUCCAUCCCUGGAAGGUGGCUCUGUGGUCCUCACACUUCUGGUUGGGUCAUUUGUCAUCAUUAUUUUUCUCUGUAGAAAGCAAGCGGCACAGACCAGAAAGCUGAGUGAGUCCCUCCAGUCCCUU
Molecule: long non-coding RNA, 429 nt
Filed under: Chrysolophus pictus (golden pheasant)
Lineage: Eukaryota; Metazoa; Chordata; Aves; Galliformes; Phasianidae
Description: lncRNA (ENSCPIG00010007252.1)
Source: RNAcentral